RNAcentral lists this ribosomal RNA (429 nucleotides) under Chloroflexota bacterium. Its description in RNAcentral is "Chloroflexi bacterium partial 16S ribosomal RNA". It matches the Rfam family "Bacterial small subunit ribosomal RNA", at positions 355 to 776 of the family's 1533-position model. The record is from RNAcentral. Lineage: Bacteria; Bacillati; Chloroflexota.
UGGGGAAUAUUGCACAAUGGGCGCAAGCCUGAUGCAGCCAUGCCGCGUGUAUGAAGAAGGCCUUCGGGUUGUAAAGUACUUUCAGCGGGGAGGAAGGGAGUAAAGUUAAUACCUUUGCUCAUUGACGUUACCCGCAGAAGAAGCACCGGCUAACUCCGUGCCAGCAGCCGCGGUAAUACGGAGGGUGCAAGCGUUAAUCGGAAUUACUGGGCGUAAAGCGCACGCAGGCGGUUUGUUAAGUCAGAUGUGAACUCCCCGGGCUCAACCUGGGAACUGCAUCUGAUACUUGCAAGCUUGAGUCUCGUAGAGGGGGGUAGAAUUCCAGGUGUAGCGGUGAAAUGCGUAGAGAUCUGGAGGAAUACCGGUGGCGAAGGCGGCCCCCUGGACGAAGACUGACGCUCAGGUGCGAAAGCGUGGGGAGCAAACAGG